AACACCUAGCUGAGUUCCUGUUCUCAGCUCAGACAGACAGUGUGCUCUGUUCAGUCAGUUCAGUCUGUAUGAAGAUGAGGGGGAAUAUCUGCUGCUGCCUGUUAGCUUUUGUUCUGAGCUGCAAUGUCACUGCAGCAAUAAUCCAUGAAAUAGUUGAGGAGAAGGACCCUGUCUUUCUGAGUUGUCCUCACUCUGUGGAGGGUAAAGUGACGUGGGGCAGAGAGAGAGAUGGACGCAGAGUUGACAUACUUACAGCUGAUGGUGACAGAGACAUAAGACACAAUGAUCCAGGCGAACGAUACAGGUCAUUAGUAGAUAAAUCACUUUACAUUCAUAGAGUUACUGUCUCAGACACUGGAAGAUACUUCUGUAAUAAUGAACCAGCUGUGGAGCUGACGGUGAUCCCAUCAGGAACAACCAGACUUGAUGCUGCAGAGAGGACCACCAUCACUCUGAAAUGUCCUCCUGAUGUUGGAGGAUCAGAUGUUCCAACAUGGAGCAGAGACGCUGUUGAAAUACAACAACAGAGACGGUUUCAUGUUUCAACUGUGAACAACACGUUGAUAAUAACAGACCUGCAGCCUGCUGACUCUGGACUUUAUUACUGUGAUGGAAAACUUGCUGCGUAUCUGACUGUGAGCAAAGACGGUGAAACAACACCAACAUCAACAACAUCAACAACAACAACAUCAACAACAUCAACAACAUCAUCAACAUCAACAACAUCAACAACACCAACAACACCAGCAGCAGAAAGAACUACAGGAACUACAGUAUUACAGUCGCCUCCUAAAGACCAGAGAACACCUCUUAGUUUGGUGAUUGAAGUCCUUUUCCUCUUCCUCUUCAUCAUCAUCAACACCAACAUCAUCAUCUGCUGUAGACAGAGACGCGGGUUUGAGAGACAAGGAAGGAAAGUGGAAGAGAGAGGAGACGACACGCAGCUAGGGGCCACAGGUCAGACUCAAACCCACCGUCGCUACAGCUCAGCCUUGGUACAUGUGGUACCAGCUCUACCAGAGACUGAAGAAAUGGACCCCGAGUAUGACGAUAUAGAGGAUGGAUCAUUGUUUCAAUCUACAAACGAUGAAUCAAACCACAGUGAUCCAACGUAUUCAACCAUCCCUGAUCUUCCUCCAGUGCAAAUGAAGACCGGUAAAGACAUCAACAUUUACAGUCACACAUUUUAACAUUGAACCAAAUGGUUAUUCAUUGUAUUUAAUAUUUUUUUACAGACACAUUUCCACCUAAUGAGUUCUCGUAAUCCUGGAUCAGCUGCACUUUUCUUGGUGGAAAUAAUAAAGCCGACUGACAACACGUAUUCUUUACUGGAGAAACCCAAAGCAGCUGGAAACCAGUGACCAACGUUGGACCUGAAUAUUGAGCCGCUGUUGGGUUGAAACAUGUUUCUGUAAGAGCUGUUUAUAGGAAAAUACUGGGAGGGAAAAGCUGAUUUAUGUUUUGAGCGUUGAGCUUAAAACUGUUUGACUGGCGAAAAAAAGCAAAUGUGACUUAUUUCAUGUGUACAUUAGGAUCCUCACAUCAUUCCCAAAUGUAAAAAUCUUAUGAAAUAUGUAAAAUCAUCUUUUUCUUAAGCUCCAUGAAAUUUACCUUUGGGCAUUAUAUUGUAAUUAACAAGAAGAAACUUGAAAAACUUGCUGUUUUAUGUUUUUCUAAAUGCUGUUUUAAAUGUAUUUGAGAAUUUCUUUUAUUAAAAACAACUGAACAUUUGA
Molecule: RNA transcript, 1733 nt
Organism: Dicentrarchus labrax (European seabass)
Lineage: Eukaryota; Metazoa; Chordata; Actinopteri; Moronidae
Exons: 9
Source: RefSeq, a predicted model, not a curated record